AUUCCAAUUACGUCGGGGAUCCCGGAUAAUAUGCCCCCGGUUUGUAACUAACCCAAUAGCGUUCGGGAUGCGGCGGCCACUUCCGCAUCUUGGGGAUAACCGGGAAAUCAGGAGAGUACAUGUAC
RNAcentral lists this small RNA (125 nucleotides) under Serratia sp. Tan611. RNAcentral describes it as "PyrD_leader". It matches the Rfam family "PyrD leader". The record is from RNAcentral. Lineage: Bacteria; Pseudomonadati; Pseudomonadota; Gammaproteobacteria; Enterobacterales; Yersiniaceae.